Molecule: ribosomal RNA, 426 nt
Filed under: uncultured Actinomycetes bacterium
Lineage: Bacteria; Bacillati; Actinomycetota; Actinomycetes
Description: bacterial SSU rRNA
Rfam family: Bacterial small subunit ribosomal RNA
Source: RNAcentral
AACGCGAAGAACCUUACCAAGGUUUGACAUGCAGGGAAAAGCCGUAGAGAUAUGGUGUCCGCAAGGGUCCUGCACAGGUGGUGCAUGGCUGUCGUCAGCUCGUGUCGUGAGAUGUUGGGUUAAGUCCCGCAACGAGCGCAACCCUCGUCCUAUGUUGCCAGCGGGUAAUGCCGGGGACUCAUAGGAGACUGCCGGGGUCAACUCGGAGGAAGGUGGGGAUGACGUCAAGUCCUCAUGCCCCUUAUGUCUUGGGCUGCAAACAUGCUACAAUGGCCAGUACAAUGGGUUGCGAGACCGCAAGGUGGAGCGAAUCCCAAAAAGCUGGUCUCAGUUCGGAUUGGGGUCUGCAACUCGACCCCAUGAAGUCGGAGUCGCUAGUAAUCGCAGAUCAGCAACGCUGCGGUGAAUACGUUCCCGGGCCUUGUA